GGGAGGUAGUGACAAUAAAUAACAAUACGGGGUUCUUUAGGAUCUCGUAAUUGGAAUGAGUACAAUUUAAAUCUCUUAACGAGGAACAAUUGGAGGGCAAGUCUGGUGCCAGCAGCCGCGGUAAUUCCAGCUCCAAUAGCGUAUAUUAAAGUUGUUGCAGUUAAAAAGCUCGUAGUUGAAUUUCGGGGUUAGUAGGUUGGUCAUGCCUCUGGUAUGUACUGGUCUCACUGAUUCCUCCUUCCUGACGAACCGUAAUGCCAUUAAUUUGGUGUUGCAGGAAAUCAGGACUGUUACUUUGAAAAAUUAGAGUGUUUAAAGCAGGCUCGCGCUUGAAUACAUUAGCAUGGAAUAAUGAAAUAGGACGUUGAUCCUAUUUUGUUGGUUUCUAGGAUUGACGUAAUGAUUAAUAGGGAUAGUUGGG
Molecule: ribosomal RNA, 421 nt
Filed under: uncultured Glomeraceae
Lineage: Eukaryota; Fungi; Glomeromycota; Glomeromycetes; Glomerales; Glomeraceae
Description: SSU rRNA
Rfam family: Eukaryotic small subunit ribosomal RNA
Source: RNAcentral